RNAcentral lists this ribosomal RNA (119 nucleotides) under Pteropus alecto (black flying fox). The record is from RNAcentral. Lineage: Eukaryota; Metazoa; Chordata; Mammalia; Chiroptera; Pteropodidae.
GUCUACAGCCAUGCCACCCUGAACAAGCCCGAUCCCAUCUGAUCUCGGAAGCUAAGCAAGGUCGGGCCUGGUUAGUACUUGGAUGGGAGACCACCUAGGAAGACCAGGUGCUGUAGGCG